RNAcentral lists this long non-coding RNA (596 nucleotides) under Mus musculus (house mouse). RNAcentral's name for it is "long non-coding RNA chr11:86222372-86222968". Lineage: Eukaryota; Metazoa; Chordata; Mammalia; Rodentia; Muridae. The record is from RNAcentral.
UAUAAAAAUAAACUUUGGGGUUUCUUUUUGUUUUUGUUUCUGAAAAAGGCUCUCAUGUAUUUCAGGCUGGGCCCAAACUCACUAUAUAGCACAGGAUGACGACAGGACUUCCGAUUUCUCCUCCACCCCCUCCCAAGAACUGAGAUCACAAGAAUGUACCACCAUAAGCGGUUUUGUGUGUGUGUUGGAGAGAUGGUUCAGAACUUAAGAGCAUAUGUUGGUCUUCUAGAGGAUAGGAAUUCAUUUCCCAGAACCCAAGCCAGGUGGCUCACAACCACAUGUAACUCUAACCCCCCAAGAUCCAGUAUCUGGCCUCUUCAGACACCUUUACUCACAUGCACAUAUCAACACUUAAAUGCACAUAAUUUAAUUUAUUCCAGGAAGAAAAAGUUCUAAAAAUCAAGACACUGCUCACCAGAAUUUAAAAUAAAUAAAUAAAUAAAAAUCAACCAACACUAUGAAACACAACACUAUGAAAGAGGAAAAGUUCCACUCAAAACACAUCAUUAAGCUGGGUAUGGUGGCGCAUGCCUGGUCUACAAAGUGAGUUCCAGGACAGCCUGGGCUAUACAGAGAAACCCUGUCUCAAAAACACC